CAGCAGCCGCGGGAAUACGAAGGGUGCAAGCGUUAAUCGGAAUUACUGGGCGUAAAGCGUGCGUAGGCGGUGAGUUAAGUCUGCUGUGAAAUCCCCGGGCUCAACCUGGGAAUGGCAGUGGAUACUGGCUCGCUAGAGUGUGUCAGAGGAUGGUGGAAUUCCCGGUGUAGCGGUGAAAUGCGUAGAGAUCGGGAGGAACAUCAGUGGCGAAGGCGGCCAUCUGGCCUAAUACUGACGCUGAGGUACGAAAGCAUGGGGAGCAAACAGGAUUAGAUACCCCUGUAGUCCCUGUCUCUUAUAU
RNAcentral lists this ribosomal RNA (301 nucleotides) under uncultured bacterium. RNAcentral describes it as "partial 16S ribosomal RNA". It matches the Rfam family "Bacterial small subunit ribosomal RNA", at positions 509 to 809 of the family's 1533-position model. The record is from RNAcentral.